GUGUGUGCAAAUACGCACACUUCUGCUAAAGAGAAGAACUGAGUGCACUUUCUACGUGAAAAGCUCUGUUCUGUAAAAGAAUCCAAAGACUGAAUUUUGCAGGCUACUGAGAGAAAAGAAAGCCCUCUAAAUAUGCAAUCAGAGCGCGAGAGAGAGAGAGAAUUGGAUCCUAGUGAAGAGGAUGAGGAGAAGUGUGGAUGUGCCCUCACACCGUCACAAGAAAGCAGUCAUAGAUAUAGAAAAUGCAUGUGAAACUCUCUCUCUCUCAAUACUAUAUCUAUCUCUCUCUAAAACUUGCAACUUUUUCUACUAUGCCGUGUG
RNAcentral lists this long non-coding RNA (321 nucleotides) under Salvia miltiorrhiza (redroot sage). RNAcentral describes it as "long non-coding RNA (SMIL_LNC010313)". The record is from RNAcentral. Lineage: Eukaryota; Viridiplantae; Streptophyta; Magnoliopsida; Lamiales; Lamiaceae.